Molecule: unclassified non-coding RNA, 680 nt
Filed under: Hevea brasiliensis (rubber tree)
Lineage: Eukaryota; Viridiplantae; Streptophyta; Magnoliopsida; Malpighiales; Euphorbiaceae
Source: RNAcentral
AGAUACAUACUAAAUGAUAUGCUUUAGGGCAUACUACUAACACUACUUGCUGAUUUUCGGAUUCCAUUACAAAGUCCCAUCCCCUUAUAUUGCAAUAAUCAGGCAGCUAUUCACAUCAGCGCUAAUCUGACUUUCUAUGAAUGAACAAAACAUAUCGAUAUUGACUGCCAUGUUGUUCGUGAUCAUAUUAACAGCGGCUUUCUCAAAACUGUUCAUACUCCAUCUCGACUUCAGCUCACUGAUGUUUUUUACCAAGCCUCUUUCAGCUGCUACUUUCACUUUUCUGUUGUCCAAGCUAGGCCUGGUUGCCUUACACCAGUCCUCAGCUUGAGGGGGGGAUGAAGCAUGAUGUAAAUUAUGUAGCUUGAUAAAAUAGGCACGCAAAUUUGUUAUCCGGCUGGUAAUAGCUCAUUGUUAGUUCAAGUAGUUUCUAGAAUAGUUUUAGUCUUGCACAUAAACGCUAGCAAGCUAUUAUUUUCAGGUGUGCAAGUGCAGAAAGCAUUUUCUACAAAUCAUUUUUUGUUCUCUGUUUACCCCUGUUUCAAGAUAUGAUAGAAACAGGAGACGUUAUUUAUUACUACACUGUUGUAGUAAACUUUUGAAGUAUAUAAAACCGAAUAUAGUGGCCAUAUAGUUACACUAUUGUAAAAACUAAAUGGAUAGAUAUUAUAGUAUUUCAG